Molecule: transfer RNA, 68 nt
Filed under: Hybos culiciformis
Lineage: Eukaryota; Metazoa; Arthropoda; Insecta; Diptera; Hybotidae
Description: tRNA-Leu
Source: RNAcentral
ACUAUUUUGGCAGAUUAGUGCAAUAAAUUUAGAUUUUAUUUAUAUAGUAUAGUAUACUAUAAAUAGUA